Molecule: ribosomal RNA, 252 nt
Filed under: uncultured bacterium
Lineage: Bacteria
Description: partial 16S ribosomal RNA
Rfam family: Bacterial small subunit ribosomal RNA
Source: RNAcentral
UACGUAGGGGGCUAGCGUUAUCCGGAAUUACUGGGCGUAAAGGGUGCGUAGGUGGUUUCUUAAGUCAGAGGUGAAAGGCUACGGCUCAACCGUAGUAAGCCUUUGAAACUGGGGAACUUGAGUGCAGGAGAGGAGAGUGGAAUUCCUAGUGUAGCGGUGAAAUGCGUAGAUAUUAGGAGGGACACCAGUUGCGAAGGCGGCUCUCUGGACUGUAACUGACACUGAGGCACGAAAGCGUGGGGAGCAAACAGG